UAUAUUAGGGUGUCUUAAGCAUAAGAGAUUUUGAAUCUUUUGGAAAUAAUUUUUUAUUUAAUAUAA
This 66-nucleotide transfer RNA is filed under the name Dorypteryx domestica. RNAcentral describes it as "tRNA-Gln". The record is from RNAcentral. Lineage: Eukaryota; Metazoa; Arthropoda; Insecta; Psocodea; Psyllipsocidae.